UCCGAUUUAUCACCGGCAGUCUCGCUAGAGUUCUCAGCAUUACCUGCUAGCAACUAACGAUAGGGGUUGCGCUCGUUGCGGGACUUAACCCAACAUCUCACGACACGAGCUGACGACAACCAUGCACCACCUGUAUACCAGUCCCGAAGGACUAACCUAUCUCUAGGUUAUUCCGGUAUAUGUCAAGCCCUGGUAAGGUUCUUCGCGUUGCUUCGAAUUAAACCACAUACUCCACUGCUUGUGCGGGCCCCCGUCAAUUCCUUUGAGUUUCAACCUUGCGGUCGUACUCCCCAGGUGGGAUACUUAAUGCGUUAGCGGCGGCACAGAAUGCUUAAUACAUCCUACACCUAGUAUCCAUCGUUUACAGUGUGGACUAC
This 377-nucleotide unclassified non-coding RNA is filed under the name uncultured Oscillospiraceae bacterium. Its description in RNAcentral is "contains 16S-23S intergenic spacer region". Lineage: Bacteria; Bacillati; Bacillota; Clostridia; Eubacteriales; Oscillospiraceae. The record is from RNAcentral.